UGGGGAAUUUUGGACAAUGGGCGCAAGCCUGAUCCAGCCAUGCCGCGUGCGGGAAGAAGGCCUUCGGGUUGUAAACCGCUUUUGUCAGGGAAGAAAUCUUCUGAGUUAAUACCUCGGGAGGAUGACGGUACCUGAAGAAUAAGCACCGGCUAACUACGUGCCAGCAGCCGCGGUAAUACGUAGGGUGCAAGCGUUAAUCGGAAUUACUGGGCGUAAAGCGUGCGCAGGCGGUUUUGUAAGACAGAGGUGAAAUCCCCGGGCUCAACCUGGGAACUGCCUUUGUGACUGCAAGGCUUGAGUGCGGCAGAGGGGGAUGGAAUUCCGCGUGUAGCAGUGAAAUGCGUAGAUAUGCGGAGGAACGGACCGAUGGCGAAGGCAAUCCCCUGGGCCUGCACUGACGCUCAUGCACGAAAGCGUGGGGAGCAAACAGGAUUAGAUAGCCCUGGUAGUCCACGCCCUAAAACGAUGUCAACUGGUUGUUGGGAAGGUUCCUUCUCAGUAACGUAGCUAACGCGUGAAGUUGACCGCCUGGGGAGUACGGCCGCAAGGUUGAAAC
RNAcentral lists this ribosomal RNA (556 nucleotides) under uncultured bacterium. RNAcentral's name for it is "partial 16S ribosomal RNA". It matches the Rfam family "Bacterial small subunit ribosomal RNA", at positions 355 to 900 of the family's 1533-position model. The record is from RNAcentral.